CAGUAGCCGCGGGAAUACGUAGGGUGCAAGCGUUAAUCGGAAUUACUGGGCGUAAAGCGUGCGCAGGCGGUUUUGUAAGUCUGUCGUGAAAUCCCCGGGCUCAACCUGGGAAUGGCGCUUGUGACUGCAAAGCUAGAGUGCGGCAGAGGGGGAUGGAAUUCCGCGUGUAGCAGCGAAAUGCGUAGAUAUGCGGAAGAACACCAGUGGCGAAGGCGGCUCACUGGCUCAUUCUAGACGCUGAGGUGCGAAAGCGUGGGGAGCAAACAGGAUUAGAUACCCGUGUAGUCCCUGUCUCUUAUAC
Molecule: ribosomal RNA, 301 nt
Filed under: uncultured bacterium
Lineage: Bacteria
Description: partial 16S ribosomal RNA
Rfam family: Bacterial small subunit ribosomal RNA
Source: RNAcentral